RNAcentral lists this long non-coding RNA (213 nucleotides) under Columba livia (rock pigeon). Its description in RNAcentral is "partial uncharacterized LOC106145937". Lineage: Eukaryota; Metazoa; Chordata; Aves; Columbiformes; Columbidae. The record is from RNAcentral.
AUUCUUUGCACUGACAUUGCUUAAAGAAGCAAGCUCUGCUUAAACUGUAAGUGCCCUUCAUUUUAGAAGAUUUCAUGAGGACCUUCACAGUAACGCCAAAUUAUGAACAAAUGGGCUGAUGAACAAAUGCUUACUGGCCAGCUGGUUACCUGUGCUCCAGAGAUGCCCGUUCUGAGUGCCCCGGCUGUUGUUCGCGCCUGAGCCAAACCCCAC